This 256-nucleotide ribosomal RNA is filed under the name uncultured bacterium. RNAcentral's name for it is "partial 16S ribosomal RNA". It matches the Rfam family "Bacterial small subunit ribosomal RNA", at positions 524 to 776 of the family's 1533-position model. The record is from RNAcentral.
UACGUAGGGUGCAAGCGUUGUCCGGAAUUAUUGGGCGUAAAGAGCUCGUAGGCGGUCUGUCGCGUCUGCUGUGAAGACUCAGGGCUUAACCCUGAGCUUGCAGUGGGUACGGGCAGACUAGAGUGUGGUAGGGGAGCGUGGGAAUUCCUGGUGUAGCGGUGAAAUGCGCAGAUAUCAGGAGGAACACCAGCGGCGAAGGCGGCGCCUCUGGGCCGGUACUGACGCUGAGGAAGCGAAAGCGUGGGUAGCAAACAGG